UUGAUGUCCACAUAAGGUGCAUCGCUAGUCAUCAUUGCGAUAAUAUCCUCCUCUGCAUCUAUUGUUACCAACCGAUCCUCCGAUACCAACUUCACCUUCUGAUGUAAUGAUGAAGGUACUGCCCCUGCUGAGUGUAUCCACGGUCUCCCCAAUAGACAGUUGUAGGAGGGUUUAAUAUCUAUUACCAAGAAAUCCACCUCAUAAGUGACUGGGCCAAUCCUUAAUGGUACCUCAAUUUUCCCCAUAACCUCCUUUUUUGUUCCAUCAAAUGCCCUUACUAUG
RNAcentral lists this long non-coding RNA (282 nucleotides) under Gossypium barbadense (sea-island cotton). Its description in RNAcentral is "long non-coding RNA (GBAR_LNC020316)". Lineage: Eukaryota; Viridiplantae; Streptophyta; Magnoliopsida; Malvales; Malvaceae. The record is from RNAcentral.